Molecule: transfer RNA, 85 nt
Filed under: Nitrospirota bacterium
Lineage: Bacteria; Pseudomonadati; Nitrospirota
Description: Nitrospirae bacterium (groundwater metagenome) tRNA-Leu
Rfam family: tRNA
About the family: Transfer RNA (tRNA) molecules are approximately 80 nucleotides in length. Their secondary structure includes four short double-helical elements and three loops (D, anti-codon, and T loops). Further hydrogen bonds mediate the characteristic L-shaped molecular structure. tRNAs have two regions of fundamental functional importance: the anti-codon, which is responsible for specific mRNA codon recognition, and the 3' end, to which the tRNAs corresponding amino acid is attached (by aminoacyl-tRNA synthetases). tRNAs cope with the degeneracy of the genetic code in two manners: having more than one tRNA (with a specific anti-codon) for a particular amino acid; and 'wobble' base-pairing, i.e. permitting non-standard base-pairing at the 3rd anti-codon position.
Source: RNAcentral
GCCGGAGUGGUGGAAUGGUAGACACAAGGGACUUAAAAUCCCUCGGGCCGAAAUGCCCGUGCCGGUUCAAGUCCGGCCUCCGGCA